RNAcentral lists this microRNA precursor (141 nucleotides) under Mus pahari (shrew mouse). Its description in RNAcentral is "miRNA (MGP_PahariEiJ_G0007333.1)". Lineage: Eukaryota; Metazoa; Chordata; Mammalia; Rodentia; Muridae. The record is from RNAcentral.
UAUGACAAAACAAUGGAAAGGUAUGCUUUGAAUGUAAGAUACUUCAUACAUUUCUGUAUUUUCAAUCUCUCCUUUAAGACUGUUCAUAUGUGUGACAAACUUUUCAUAGCAAAACAUUUCAAAGUUAGAGAAGUUUGUCAU